UACGUAGGAGGCGAGCGUUGUCCGGAAUCACUGGGUGUAAAGCGCGUGUAGGCGGCCUGCCAAGUCUGCUGUGAAAGCGCCUGGCUUAACCGGGCGAGGUCGGUGGAAACUGGCGGGCUGGAGGUCGGUAGAGGGGGGUGGAAUUCCCGGUGUAGUGGUGAAAUGCGUAGAUAUCGGGAGGAACACCAAUGGCGAAGGCAGCUCGCUGGGACGGUACUGACGCUGAGACGCGAAAGCGUGGGGAGCAAACAGG
This 253-nucleotide ribosomal RNA is filed under the name uncultured bacterium. RNAcentral describes it as "partial 16S ribosomal RNA". It matches the Rfam family "Bacterial small subunit ribosomal RNA", at positions 524 to 776 of the family's 1533-position model. The record is from RNAcentral.